Molecule: long non-coding RNA, 242 nt
Filed under: Lathyrus oleraceus (garden pea)
Lineage: Eukaryota; Viridiplantae; Streptophyta; Magnoliopsida; Fabales; Fabaceae
Description: Pisum sativum (pea) long non-coding RNA (PSAT_LNC008402)
Source: RNAcentral
AAUCAUGCAUAUUAAAGCGUCUCAGCACUUUGUCUAUGUAUGAACUCUGACUUAGGCCAGCAGUUUUUGUGAUCUAUCUCUAUAGAUUCUGAUUCCUAAUAUAUAGGCAGCUUCACCUAGGUCCUUCAUAGAAAAGCAUUUCCCCAACCAAGUCUUACUUGUUGCAGGGUAGGACAUCGUUUCCAAUGAGUAAUAUGUCAUCUACAUAUAACACCAGGAACACGAUCAUGCUCCACUAACCU